CUUCCAGGGGGCCCUUCCAAGCUGAAUUAUCACUAUGAUCCUGUUUUAAAUAUCAGUGGGGAUAUGAAACACAGAUAAUUGAAUUGUCUGAUGUAACUCCCAGUUAAAAUAAUUGGAAAGAACUCUGUGGUAUCUUCAGAACCUGUUGCCCAAAGUCACAAAGAAAAUACAUCCAAGGAAAGACCUCAGACUUCCUGCUUUCCUCACAAGUUGCCUUAUCUUGAGCCUAUAUUUCCUUUGUAGUAGUCAGGAGCCUAUGUUGUAUUCCUGCUUACAUGUGAAUUUCAAUAAACAGAAUAAGAAGGUCCAAUGUCAAAAGAAAUAAUCUUCUCUGGAUACAAUCUGUGAAGGUGUGACUUCUGGAGAAUUCCCACAUGUAAUUAGGUGUACCUCCCUACCAUUGGCCAUUUCCUCAUGCCAUUUCCAUGUGCAUAGACUCAGACUGUCUGCUGAGGGACUAUUUUGGUGUGCUCAGAUACACAAAGAAUUUGUAAAUAGAGACAAAGCACUUCAUACUACAGUAAUUCUAGUCUAGAAGUAGUUAAGAAAAUGUGUAAAUUUUAAACUAUGCCAAAAAGGAACAGAGAGUCUUUUCAGUAGUGUUCAUUGAUCUGUUCCUCAUGUCAUGGUUUUGUUUCUGUUUCACUAACAAUAUUACUGACAGAUGAACUGAGUCAAUCCAAGCAUACCUGUUCUUCUUUUGUUGUUUCUCCAUUUGUGUAAACACUUGCCUACUGUCUUACCAGUGGCAAAUUUGUUGCUGUUGUUUUUGGCAUUUAUCCUUCUCUGGGCUUGAUGAAUAACAGGGCAUGAAAAAACUGUCACAAGGCCUACCAGUAGACAAACAUCAGGCUGUAAACAAUAGCAUAAAGUGCUAUUAAAACUGUAGUGUAAACACACACAAGAUGAUAAAAUGAGCCAACUGAUGAUAUUUCAUGGGUUGUACUAGUUGAAGUGAACUGAUCCUCAUCCAAACUCAAUCAGUCACAGUUCUGUUUGCAGCUGUUUUAACAUUACUAAGUUCUAGAGAAAUUUAGAUAAAUGUCUGUUUUAGAUUUAUUUAUUUCAAUGUAAAUAGUAUCACUUUAAAAAUAAAACAAAUAUAGUGACUAAUAUAUAUAUUCA
RNAcentral lists this long non-coding RNA (1125 nucleotides) under Anas platyrhynchos platyrhynchos (common mallard). RNAcentral describes it as "lncRNA (ENSAPLG00000030518.1)". Lineage: Eukaryota; Metazoa; Chordata; Aves; Anseriformes; Anatidae. The record is from RNAcentral.